This 76-nucleotide transfer RNA is filed under the name Candidatus Jorgensenbacteria bacterium. RNAcentral's name for it is "tRNA-Lys". It matches the Rfam family "tRNA". Rfam says of the family: Transfer RNA (tRNA) molecules are approximately 80 nucleotides in length. Their secondary structure includes four short double-helical elements and three loops (D, anti-codon, and T loops). Lineage: Bacteria; Candidatus Joergenseniibacteriota. The record is from RNAcentral.
CCCCCCAUAGCUCAAUUGGCAGAGCAGCUGCCUCUUAAGCAGUUUGUUCCAGGUUCGAGUCCUGGUGGGGGGACAA